RNAcentral lists this transfer RNA (71 nucleotides) under Metschnikowia arizonensis. RNAcentral describes it as "tRNA-Met". It matches the Rfam family "tRNA". Rfam says of the family: Transfer RNA (tRNA) molecules are approximately 80 nucleotides in length. Lineage: Eukaryota; Fungi; Ascomycota; Pichiomycetes; Serinales; Metschnikowiaceae. The record is from RNAcentral.
GCUUAGGUAGUUUAAUGGUAAAACUUUUGCCUCAUAUGCAUUUAAUAUAGGUUCAAUUCCUUUCUUAAGCU